CCCUUAGAUGUUCGGAGCUGCACGCGCGCUACACUGACGGAGGCAGCGAGCGUGUCCUUCGCCGGCAGGUGCGGGCAAUCUUGCGAGUCUCCGUCGUGCUGGGGAUAGAUGGUUGCAAUUGUCGAUCUUGAACGAGGAAUUCCUAGUAAGCGCGAGUCAUCAGCUCGCGCUGAUUACGUCCCUGCCCUUUGUACACACCGCCCGUCGCUACUACAGAGUGCCCGUGUCCAAGAAACGGUCGGACCUGUGCGGCCUCUCCGGGCGACCGGAGGGCCGUUACGGGGAAGACCCUUUAUUUGACGCGGGUCGAUGAAGUAAAAGUCGUAACA
Molecule: ribosomal RNA, 329 nt
Filed under: uncultured eukaryote
Lineage: Eukaryota
Description: partial 18S ribosomal RNA
Rfam family: Eukaryotic small subunit ribosomal RNA
Source: RNAcentral